This 74-nucleotide transfer RNA is filed under the name Arcobacter venerupis. RNAcentral's name for it is "tRNA-His". It matches the Rfam family "tRNA". From Rfam's summary of the family: Transfer RNA (tRNA) molecules are approximately 80 nucleotides in length. Lineage: Bacteria; Pseudomonadati; Campylobacterota; Epsilonproteobacteria; Campylobacterales; Arcobacteraceae. The record is from RNAcentral. RNAcentral also lists the same sequence under 1 other name.
GUAGGUAUAGCUCAGUCGGUUAGAGCAUCUGGUUGUGGUUCAGAGGGUCGUGGGUUCGAGCCCCAUUACUUACC